Molecule: ribosomal RNA, 463 nt
Filed under: uncultured bacterium
Lineage: Bacteria
Description: partial 23S ribosomal RNA
Rfam family: Bacterial large subunit ribosomal RNA
Source: RNAcentral
ACCUUACUAAACUUAGUAAACUAUUAUUACCAAUAGACGUAAAGUACCGUGGAAGGGAAAGCUUAGAAAAGUUACCUUUAACAAAGUAAAAGGAGUGAAAAGUAUAAAAUUCUAAAUUACGUGAGCUAUUGAUGCACAUUUUUUGUGUAACAAUGUACCUUUUGUAUAAUGGAUCAACGAGUUGAUAUGUUUAGCAAAACGAAAGUUUUAAGCUUAGGUUUUAAUGAAAAUGAGUUAUCAAUAACAUAAGUUAAACAUAUUAUUUUACCCGAAACUGAAUGAUCUAGUCAUGUACAAGUUAAAAGACUGAACUCGUGUAUGUUGCAUUAUACUGGGAUGAUAUGUGAUUAGGGGUGAAAGGCUAAUCAAAUUCAGAAAUAGCUGGUUUUCUACGAAAUCUAUUAAAGUAGAGUGAAAAAUAAAAAAAAACUUGGAGGUAAAGCGACUUGUUGAGCUAGGGGGG